This is a long non-coding RNA of Drosophila miranda, 690 nucleotides long. RefSeq lists it as uncharacterized. The record is from RefSeq and is a predicted model, not a curated record. The transcript has 3 exons. NCBI's taxonomy places the organism in Eukaryota, Metazoa, Arthropoda, Insecta, Diptera, Drosophilidae.
AGUUGUGCUCUUUUCCGGCAAUGGAUGCCUAAAAACCUUUCAUAUACUGAAACAUCUCCAUCUUCUUUGCUAUGGCCACAGCCGAACACCAAUAUUUCACCACGUGUUCCCCAAACUGCACCAAAAUUCUAUCGCCUCAGUGUGGUGUUGCAACAGAAUGUAAUUUUCAAGCCUCCAAAAUUGUUCGUAAGAAUAUGAGGACUGCCAACGUGGAGAAUCUAAAAUGACAAUAUUCAAAAUUAUCGAUGGAGAUGUCCCACCGAUAAGCCCAAAUGCGAACGUCUUCCCUUGAUCGUUAAACAAAAAGUUUAGUAUCUUUGGGAUUGGAAGUUAUAGGAACCGUAACUUCUAUCUCCAGAACCCUAGGUUGACCAUUCACUAAAUUUUUAACUUUGUAGUAACAUAUAAACAACAAUUUAUUAUUAUUCAAAGUCCAAAUAUUUACUUGAAUACAAUUAAUUUUUGAGCCGAGAAUUGACAAGUAAAGAUUUCCCUACCAGGGAAAAAAGAAUAUCUUCUUUAUCAUCCACAAAUAGAGCGAAUAGAAGGAAACUGAGUAUACAUCCUCGUUUCGCCCCUUGAUUUGUAUUAGAUUCGUCUGAAAGACUGAAAUUUUAUCACAAUCAUUUUUGUUAUAGGAGAUAAUAGUAAAAUGAAUUUUAAAAAAAAACCUAAAAAUUCCGGAAAUGU